GUAGGUGGCAAGCGUUGUCCGGAAUUAUUGGGCGUAAAGCGCGCGCAGGCGGUCCUUUAAGUCUGAUGUGAAAGCCCACGGCUCAACCGUGGAGGGUCAUUGGAAACUGGGGGACUUGAGUACAGAAGAGGAAAGCGGAAUUCCAAGUGUAGCGGUGAAAUGCGUAGAGAUUUGGAGGAACACCAGUGGCGAAGGCGGCUUUCUGGUCUGUAGCUGACGCUGAGGCGCGAAAGCGUGGGGAGCAAACAGGGAUUAGAUACCCUGGUAGUCCACGCCGUAAACGAUGAGUGCUAAGUGUUAGGGGGUUUCCGCCCCCUUAGUGCUGCAGCUAACGCAUUAAGCACUCCGCCUGGGGAUACGGCCGCAAGGCUG
This 372-nucleotide ribosomal RNA is filed under the name uncultured organism. RNAcentral describes it as "partial 16S ribosomal RNA". It matches the Rfam family "Bacterial small subunit ribosomal RNA", at positions 527 to 896 of the family's 1533-position model. The record is from RNAcentral.